GUAAGCUACCAGAUAUAAUUGGCGCCGUUAAACAUUAAAUUGUAUUUGUGCCGUGUCAAAUAAAUUAUAGAUGAACAAAAAAAAAUCAUCGUCCGAAUCCGAUGAUGAUUUGUUUUUUAUUUUUGACGCUGACUGUGGAAGUGACCGUACUCCUCGCGUGGAAAAUUUUUUCACGGAGGUGGUCGAUAAAUACACAGACGAGGAGGUAAGUUGGAUUUGGAAAACUGCUUUUCAUAAAAUCAUUAAAGUUGUAGAUAAGAUAGGAAUUAUGCUAACAGUUCUUCCGCCUUUUUUGAAUAUUUUAUAGUUCAGGAAAAAUUUCAGACUAACGCGGAAUACCGCAAAUUUUCUGAUCGAGCGGUAUAUAAGGUCGGAUUAUUACCGCAAAAAUACAAACCGGGGGCGGAAGACCAUAGAUGCCAGGAAACUGAUGUUAGCAUUCUUGUGAUUCGCUGCUAAUAAAAACUCUUAUCGUGAGGUGUGUAAUUUGUUCUACUUCUCGGCGUCAACAUUUUACAAACACCAUGAAAACAUUUUGAAUUUUUUUCACGAAAUCGCCAAGGAGUUUAUCUGUUUUCCAUCAACCGACGAUGGCAAAAACGAAUAGCAGCAAAAUUUAAAUCGAUUGCGAAUUUCCCUGACGUCCUCGGUUGCAUCGAUGGAUGCUAUGUUUACAUACGGAAACCGGUUCAUAAAAUUCGAUCAACUUACGCGAAUCGAC
Long non-coding RNA from Wyeomyia smithii (pitcher-plant mosquito), 721 nucleotides. RefSeq lists it as uncharacterized. NCBI's taxonomy places the organism in Eukaryota, Metazoa, Arthropoda, Insecta, Diptera, Culicidae. The transcript is spliced from 3 exons. The record is from RefSeq and is a predicted model, not a curated record.